Molecule: unclassified non-coding RNA, 378 nt
Filed under: plant metagenome
Description: partial contains 5.8S ribosomal RNA, internal transcribed spacer 2, and large subunit ribosomal RNA
Rfam family: 5.8S ribosomal RNA (bases 1-105)
Source: RNAcentral
GUAAUGCGAUAAGUAAUGUGAAUUGCAGAAUUCAGUGAAUCAUCGAAUCUUUGAACGCACCUUGCGCUCCUUGGUAUUCCUUGGAGCAUGCCUGUUUGAGUAUCAUGAAAUCUUCAAAGUAAAUCUUUUGUUAACUCAAUUGGUUUCUACUUUGGUAUUGGAGGUCUUUGCAGCUUCACACCUGCUCCUCUUUGUUCAUUAGCUGGAUCUCAGUGUUAUGCUUGGUUCCACUCGGCGUGAUAAGUUAUCUAUUGCUGAGGACACUGUAAAAGGUGGCCAAGGUAAAUGCAGAUGAACCGCUUCUAAUAGUCCAUUGACUUGGACAAUACUUUUAUGAUCUGAUCUCAAAUCAGGUAGGACUACCCGCUGAACUUAAGC